RNAcentral lists this ribosomal RNA (449 nucleotides) under uncultured bacterium. RNAcentral's name for it is "partial 16S ribosomal RNA". It matches the Rfam family "Bacterial small subunit ribosomal RNA", at positions 29 to 523 of the family's 1533-position model. The record is from RNAcentral.
AACGAACGCUGGCGGCAUGCCUAACACAUGCGAGUCGAACGAGAUCUUCGGGUCUAGUGGCGCGCGGGUGCGUAACGCGUGGGAAUCUGCCCUUUGGUUCGGAAUAACAGUUGGAAACGACUGCUAAUACCGGAUGAUGACGAAAGUCCAAAGAUUUAUCGCCAGAGGAUGAGCCCGCGUAGGAUUAGCUAGUUGGUGUGGUAAAGGCGCACCAAGGCGACGAUCCUUAGCUGGUCUGAGAGGAUGAUCAGCCACACUGGGACUGAGACACGGCCCAGACUCCUACGGGAGGCAGCAGUGGGGAAUAUUGGACAAUGGGCGAAAGCCUGAUCCAGCAAUGCCGCGUGAGUGAUGAAGGCCUUAGGGUUGUAAAGCUCUUUUACCCGGGAUGAUAAUGACAGUACCGGGAGAAUAAGCUCCGGCUAACUCCGUGCCAGCCGCCGCCGUAA